RNAcentral lists this ribosomal RNA (426 nucleotides) under uncultured bacterium. RNAcentral's name for it is "bacterial SSU rRNA". It matches the Rfam family "Bacterial small subunit ribosomal RNA", at positions 354 to 796 of the family's 1533-position model. The record is from RNAcentral.
GUGGGGAAUAUUGCACAAUGGGGGAAACCCUGAUGCAGCGACGCCGCGUGAAGGAAGAAGUAUUUCGGUAUGUAAACUUCUAUCAGCAGGGAAGAAAAUGACGGUACCUGACUAAGAAGCCCCGGCUAACUACGUGCCAGCAGCCGCGGUAAUACGUAGGGGGCAAGCGUUAUCCGGAUUUACUGGGUGUAAAGGGAGUGUAGACGGCUUUGCAAGUCAGAUGUGAAAGCCCGGGGCUCAACCCCGGGACUGCAUUUGAAACUGCAGAUGCUAGAGUGUCGGAGAGGUAAGCGGAAUUCCUAGUGUAGCGGUGAAAUGCGUAGAUAUUAGGAGGAACACCAGUGGCGAAGGCGGCUUACUGGACGAUGACUGACGUUGAGGCUCGAAAGCGUGGGGAGCAAACAGGAUUAGAUACCCUGGUAGUCC